RNAcentral lists this ribosomal RNA (514 nucleotides) under uncultured bacterium. RNAcentral describes it as "bacterial SSU rRNA". It matches the Rfam family "Bacterial small subunit ribosomal RNA", at positions 1 to 507 of the family's 1533-position model. The record is from RNAcentral.
CGUACGAUACGAGUUUUGAUCCUGGCUCAGGAUGAACGCUAGCGGCAGGCUUAAUACAUGCAAGUCGAGGGGCAGCGCGGGUAGCAAUACCUGGCGGCGACCGGCAAACGGGUGCGGAACACGUACGCAACCUUCCCAAAACUGGGGAAUAGCCCUCCGAAAGGAGGAUUAAUACCCCGUAACAUAACGAAGUGGCAUCACUUUGUUAUUAUAGUUCCGACGGUUUUGGAUGGGCGUGCGCCUGAUUAGGUAGUUGGCGGGGUAACGGCCCACCAAGCCUGCGAUCAGUAACUGGUGUGAGAGCACGACCAGUCACACGGGCACUGAGACACGGGCCCGACUCCUACGGGAGGCAGCAGUAAGGAAUAUUGGUCAAUGGACGCAAGUCUGAACCAGCCAUGCCGCGUGAAGGAUGAAGGUCCUCUGGAUUGUAAACUUCUUUUAUAUGGGACGAAAAAAGGGCAUUCUUGCUCACUUGACGGUACCAUAGGAAUAAGCACCGGCUAACUCCGUG